This 478-nucleotide ribosomal RNA is filed under the name Streptococcus infantis. RNAcentral's name for it is "bacterial SSU rRNA". It matches the Rfam family "Bacterial small subunit ribosomal RNA", at positions 28 to 489 of the family's 1533-position model. The record is from RNAcentral. Lineage: Bacteria; Bacillati; Bacillota; Bacilli; Lactobacillales; Streptococcaceae.
GACGAACGCUGGCGGCGUGCCUAAUACAUGCAAGUAGAACGCUGAAGGAAGGAGCUUGCUCUUUCCGGAUGAGUUGCGAACGGGUGAGUAACGCGUAGGUAACCUGCCUGGUAGCGGGGGAUAACUAUUGGAAACGAUAGCUAAUACCGCAUAACAGUAGAUAUCGCAUGAUAUGUGCUUGAAAGGUGCAAUUGCACCACUACCAGAUGGACCUGCGUUGUAUUAGCUAGUUGGUGAGGUAACGGCUCACCAAGGCAACGAUACAUAGCCGACCUGAGAGGGUGAUCGGCCACACUGGGACUGAGACACGGCCCAGACUCCUACGGGAGGCAGCAGUAGGGAAUCUUCGGCAAUGGACGGAAGUCUGACCGAGCAACGCCGCGUGAGUGAAGAAGGUUUUCGGAUCGUAAAGCUCUGUUGUAAGAGAAGAACGAGUGUGAGAGUGGAAAGUUCACACUGUGACGGUAUCUACCAGAAA